This 1271-nucleotide ribosomal RNA is filed under the name metagenome. RNAcentral's name for it is "bacterial LSU rRNA". It matches the Rfam family "Bacterial large subunit ribosomal RNA", at positions 1639 to 2925 of the family's 2925-position model. The record is from RNAcentral.
UGCCUGUACCAUAACCGACACAGGUGGGUAGGUAGAGUAUACUAAGGGGCGCGAGAUAACUCUCUCUAAGGAACUCGGCAAAAUGACUCCGUAACUUCGGGAGAAGGAGUGCCUUAUUUAUAAGGUUGCAAUAACAAGAUCCAAGCAACUGUUUAUCAAAAACACAGGUCUCCGCUAAGUCGUAAGACGAUGUAUGGGGGCUGACGCCUGCCCAGUGCCAGAAGGUUAAAGAAGUUGGUUAGUGUAUGCGAAGCUGAUGACUGAAGCCCUGGUGAACGGCGGCCGUAACAAUAACGGUCCUAAGGUAGCGAAAUUCCUUGUCGGGUAAGUUCCGACCCGCACGAAAGGCGUAAUGAUUUGGAUACUGUCUCGGAGAGAGGCUCGGUGAAAUAGACUUGUCUGUGAAGAUGCGGACUACCUGCACCAGGACAGAAAGACCCUAUGAAGCUUUACUGUAACUUGAAAUUGGAAUUGGACUUUGCUUGCGCAGUAUAGGUGGGAAGCGUUGAAGAUAUUCUUGCGGGAGUAUUGGAGCUAUCAGUGAGAUACCACUCUUGUAAUGUUAGAUUUCUAACUUUGAACCAUAAUCUGGUCAAAGAACAGUUUCAGGUGGGCAGUUUGACUGGGGCGGUCGCCUCCCAAAUGGUAACGGAGGCGUACAAAGGUUUCCUCUGAACGGAUAGAAAUCGUAUCUAGAGUGUAAAGGCAUAAGGAAGCUUGACUGUGAGACCUACAAGUCGAGCAGGGACGAAAGUCGGUCUUAGUGAUCUGACGGUACUGAGUGGAAAGGCCGUCACUCAACGGAUAAAAGUUACUCUAAGGAUAACAGGCUGAUCUCCCCCAAGAGUUCACAUCGACGGGGAGGUUUGGCACCUCGAUGUCGGCUCAUCGCAUCCUGGGGCGGUAGUACGUCCCAAGGGUUGGGCUGUUCGCCCAUGAAAGCGGUACGCGAGCUGGGUUCAGAACGUCGUGAGACAGUUCGGUCCAUAUCCGGUGUAGGCGUUAGAAUAUUGAGAGGAGCCUUCUUAGUACGAGAGGACCGAGAAGGACACACCGCUGGUGUACCAGUUAUCGUGCCAACGGUAAACGCUGGGUAGCUAUGUGUGGAGUGGAUAACCGCUGAAAGCAUCUAAGUGGGAACCCCACCUCAAGAUGAUUGCUCUCACAGGGUUAGCCUGGUAAGGUCACGGGAAGACCACCCGUUGAUAGGCACUCGGUGGAAGUCCAGCAAUGGAUGAAGCCAAGGUGUACUAACAGACCGAGGGCUUGAU